AACGCUAGCUACAGGCUUAACACAUGCAAGUCGAGGGGUAGCAGGGUAGCAAUACCGCUGACGACCGGCGCACGGGUGAGUAACACGUAUCCAACCUACCGUUAACUCGGGGAUAGCCUUUCGAAAGAAAGAUUAAUACCCGAUAGUAUAUUUUCUUCGCAUGUUGAAAAUAUUAAAGAAUUUCGGUUAUCGCUGGGGAUGCGUUCCAUUAGGCAGUUGGCGGGGUAACGGCCCACCAAACCUACGAUGGAUAGGGGUUCUGAGAGGAAGGUCCCCCACAUUGGUACUGAGACACGGACCAAACUCCUACGGGAGGCAGCAGUGAGGAAUAUUGGUCAAUGGGCGAGAGCCUGAACCAGCCAAGUAGCGUGAAGGAUGAAGGUCCUAUGGAUUGUAAACUUCUUUUAUAGUAGAAUAAAGUGAUCCACGUGUGGAUUUUUGUAUGUAUACUAUGAAUAAGGAUCGGCUAACUCCGUGCCAGCAGCCGCGGUAAUACGGAGGAUCCGAGCGUUAUCCGGAUUUAUUGGGUUUAAAGGGUGCGUAGGCGGAAUAAUAAGUCAGUUGUGAAAGUUUGCGGCUCAACCGUAAAAUUGCAGUUGAUACUGUUAUUCUUGAGUGUACAUAAGGUAGGCGGAAUUCGUGGUGUAGCGGUGAAAUGCUUAGAUAUCACGAAGAACUCCGAUUG
This 685-nucleotide ribosomal RNA is filed under the name uncultured bacterium. RNAcentral's name for it is "bacterial SSU rRNA". It matches the Rfam family "Bacterial small subunit ribosomal RNA", at positions 32 to 715 of the family's 1533-position model. The record is from RNAcentral.